RNAcentral lists this ribosomal RNA (455 nucleotides) under Polybioides raphigastra. RNAcentral's name for it is "partial large subunit ribosomal RNA". The stretch from base 330 to 455 matches the Rfam family "Bacterial large subunit ribosomal RNA", at positions 2473 to 2599 of the family's 2925-position model. Lineage: Eukaryota; Metazoa; Arthropoda; Insecta; Hymenoptera; Vespidae. The record is from RNAcentral.
AGUCUUUCUGCCCAUUGAAUUUAAAAGGCUGCGGUAAAUUAACUGUACAAAGGUAGCAAAAUCAAUAGUUUUUUAAUUGAAAACUUGAAUGAAAGAGUUGAUAAAAUAUAAAUUGUCUCAAAUAUUAAAUUUAAAUUAAAAGUAAAAAUGCUUUUAUAAUUUUAUAAGACGAGAAGACCCUAAGAAUUUAAUAAAAUUUAUUAAUUUAAAUUUGUUAUUAUUAUAAUUAUUUUACUGGGAGGGUAAUUAAAAAUAACUUUAAUUUUAAUUAACAAUAAUAAUUGAUGAAUAUGAUAAUUUUUAUAAUUAUAAGAAUAAAUUACCUUAGGGAUAACAGCGUAAUAAUUUUGGAAAGUUCAUAUUAAUAGAAUUGUUUGCGACCUCGAUGUUGAAUUAAAAUAAAAUUUGAAUGAAGGUAUUUGAGUUUUUAGUCUGUUCGACUAUUAAAAUUUUAC